UUCCUUGGUCUUUAAUUGCAAGCACUCUCACACGUAAACGCCACAUAUACAUAGGAAAAGUAGACCGAUCAGCUUCAGCCUUCAUCGAUCCUGCAUGGGCACCAAAUGAAAGAUGCUGUGCAAAUAUAUAUGCAUUAAUUUUUCCGACUAAUUCAUGAAACUCCAUCUUGCUUGAGUCUCGGUCAUUUUCGGUGUCGUUGAUAAAGAGGAAAUUAAAUCGUUGAUCAAUAUGCUUAGAGCUGGUCGUUCUUUGGUUUCCUGCAACUCGCGAAGUAGUAUUCUCGAACAACUUGGUCGUCAUGAGAGGACGUCUUUCUCCAGCUAUGCAUCUCAGUUGGUACACCAUCCAGAUUUUGCUAUGUAUCAUAAGCUUGGAAAUGGCAGCUACCUGAUCUGCGAUUCAAUUUUUCACGGGAAAACAAAGAUAUUAAAGUAUUAAUUAUGCAGGAAUCCUAAAAUAUAUGAGUUCUGCAUAACAACGUCCCAUGACUUUAUGUACAAAAAAGACUAUUGAUGAAUUAAUUACCUAAUUAACCAUACAGGAUAAAAUGGGUUUUUGGAUCCGGAGUAACUUUAUCGAUACCGACGUCGAAACAGGAUUGGAGGAAACUACUAAGGAUUGGAGGAGAGACCGAAAUGGUGGUUGAAGAGGUUGAAGCGUGGCAGAGACAGUAGAAAAGGUUGCAACUGUGGCAGAGAAGAUAUCAGCAGAGGUGGCAGACAAACUUCCCGAGAAUGGUAAACUCAAGGAAGCAGCUUUGUUUGUGGAACGUGUUUCGAAAGAGGCUGCCCAUGAUGCUCAUCUAACAAAAGAUUUUAUUCACAAGGUGGAUGCAUUGAAAGAAGACCUGGAGGCACUACUGGUUGAACCCAUGAAUAUUGAUCAGAUUUCAAAGCUGCAAGGAUCUGAAGGGAAGUAGUAAUGCAAUAUGGAAAUACUCCAAGCUAGGUUGGAUAUAAUUAAUGAUUCAUUCAUUCUAUUUUGAAACGUUUAAAGCACAAAAAUACAAGCCGUUUUCUAAUUUGACCUUCCUGUCUGCAA
Molecule: long non-coding RNA, 1042 nt
Organism: Juglans microcarpa x Juglans regia
Lineage: Eukaryota; Viridiplantae; Streptophyta; Magnoliopsida; Fagales; Juglandaceae
Exons: 3
Source: RefSeq, a predicted model, not a curated record